RNAcentral lists this ribosomal RNA (301 nucleotides) under uncultured bacterium. RNAcentral describes it as "partial 16S ribosomal RNA". It matches the Rfam family "Bacterial small subunit ribosomal RNA", at positions 509 to 807 of the family's 1533-position model. The record is from RNAcentral.
CAGUAGCCACGGUAAUACGGAGGGGGCUAGCGUUGUUCGGAAUUACUGGGCGUAAAGCGCACGUAGGCGGCUUUGUAAGUUAGAGGUGAAAGCCUGGGGCUCAACUCCAGAAUUGCCUUUAAGACUGCACCGCUUGAACGUCGGAGAGGUGAGUGGAAUUCCGAGUGUAGAGGUGAAAUUCGUAGAUAUUCGGAAGAACACCAGUGGCGAAGGCGGCUCACUGGGCGACUGUUGACGCUGAGGUGCGAAAGCGUGGGGAGCAAACAGGAUUAGAUACCCCCGUAGUCCCUGUCUCUUAUAC